Molecule: ribosomal RNA, 251 nt
Filed under: uncultured bacterium
Lineage: Bacteria
Description: partial 16S ribosomal RNA
Rfam family: Bacterial small subunit ribosomal RNA
Source: RNAcentral
GCAAGUCGAACGAGAAAAUUCUCUUCGGAGAAUGAUUAGAGUGGCGCACGGGUGAGUAACACUUAGGUAACUUACCUCCUCGCUGGGGAUAACCAAGGGAAACUUUGGCUAAUACCGAAUGACCCCCUAGAGCUUCGGCAAUGGUGGGGAAAGCCUUCGGGCGCGAGGAGAGAGGCCUGAGUCCCAUUAGCUUGUUGGUAGGGUAAAAGCCUACCAAGGCCGCGAUGGGUAGCUGGUCUGAGAGGAUGAUC